UUUAUUGGAACUGGAAUGAAAGGCUUAACAAACAUAUAAUUUUUUAUUUUUAGAUGUUAUAAUUUUUAAUUUACGUAAAAAUACGUAAAUGAAUUUAAGGGACGAUAAGACCCUAAAAGCUUUAUUAUUUAAAUUUUUGUUAUUAUUUAGAUUUGAUUGUUUAAUGUAUUUUAACUGGGGCGGUUGUUUUUUUAACAAAAAUUUUUUUUACAAAUAGGAUUAAAGGUCCUUAAAAUUAGGAUAGAUUGUUUAAGUUACUUUAGGGAUAACAGCGUUAUAAUAAUAGGGAGACCUUAUUUAUAUUGUUGAUUGCGACCUCGAUGUUGAAUUAAAUUUUUCUAUGUAAAGCAGAAAUUAUAUAUGAAAGUUUGUUCAACUUUUAAAUUUUUACAUGAUCUGAGUUCAAA
This 407-nucleotide ribosomal RNA is filed under the name Platorchestia pacifica. RNAcentral's name for it is "partial 16S ribosomal RNA". Lineage: Eukaryota; Metazoa; Arthropoda; Malacostraca; Amphipoda; Talitridae. The record is from RNAcentral.